GACGAACGCUGGCGGCGUGCUUAACACAUGCCAGUCGAACGGAAAGGCCCUGCUUUUGUGGGCUGCUCGAGUGGCGAACGGGUGAGUAACACGUGAGUAACCUGCCCUUGACUUUGGGAUAACUUCAGGAAACUGGGGCUAAUACCGGAUAGGAGCUCCUGCUGCAUGGUGGUGGUUGGAAAGUUUCGUCGGUUGGGGAUGGACUCGCGUCGUAUCAGCUUGUUGGGGGGGUAGUGGCUUACCAAGGCUUUGACGGGUAGCCGGCCUGGGAGGGUGACCGGACAAAUUGGACCUGAGAUAAGGCACAGACUCCUAUGGGAGGCAGCAGUGGGGAAUAUUACACAAGGGGCGGAAGGCAGAUGUAGCAACGCCGCGUGCGGGAUGACGGCCUUGGGGUUGUAAACCGAUUUCGCCUGUGACGAAGCGUGAGUGACGGUAAUGGGUAAAGAAGCACCGGCUAACUACGUG
Molecule: ribosomal RNA, 468 nt
Filed under: uncultured bacterium
Lineage: Bacteria
Description: partial 16S ribosomal RNA
Rfam family: Bacterial small subunit ribosomal RNA
Source: RNAcentral